Molecule: ribosomal RNA, 430 nt
Filed under: uncultured bacterium
Lineage: Bacteria
Description: bacterial SSU rRNA
Rfam family: Bacterial small subunit ribosomal RNA
Source: RNAcentral
GUGGGGAAUAUUGCGCAAUGGGCGGAAGCCUGACGCAGCGACGCCGCGUGAGGGAUGACGGCCUUCGGGUUGUAAACCUCUUUCGACCCUGACGAAGCGUGAGUGACGGUAGGGGUAGAAGAAGCGCCGGCCAACUACGUGCCAGCAGCCGCGGUAAGACGUAGGGCGCAAGCGUUGUCCGGAUUUAUUGGGCGUAAAGAGCUCGUAGGCGGCGUGUCGCGUCGUCCGUGAAAACCUGCAGCUUAACUGUGGGCGUGCGGUCGAUACGGGCAUGCUAGAGGCAGGUAGGGGAGAUCGGAAUUCCUGGUGUAGCGGUGAAAUGCGCAGAUAUCAGGAGGAACACCGGUGGCGAAGGCGGAUCUCUGGGCCUGUUCUGACGCUGAGGAGCGAAAGCGUGGGGAGCGAACAGGAUUAGAUACCCCAGUAGUCC